This 415-nucleotide ribosomal RNA is filed under the name uncultured Pseudomonas sp. Its description in RNAcentral is "bacterial SSU rRNA". It matches the Rfam family "Bacterial small subunit ribosomal RNA", at positions 107 to 518 of the family's 1533-position model. Lineage: Bacteria; Pseudomonadati; Pseudomonadota; Gammaproteobacteria; Pseudomonadales; Pseudomonadaceae. The record is from RNAcentral.
UGAGUAAUGCCUAGGAAUCUGCCUGGUAGUGGGGGACAACGUCUCGAAAGGGACGCUAAUACCGCAUACCUCCUACGGGAGAAAGCAGGGGACCUUCGGGCCUUGCGCUAUCAGAUGAGCCUAGGUCGGAUUAGCUAGUUGGUGAGGUAAUGGCUCACCAAGGCGACGAUCCGUAACUGGUCUGAGAGGAUGAUCAGUCACACUGCAACUGAGACACGGUCCAGACUCCUACAGGAGGCAGCAGUGGGGAAUAUUGGACAAUGGGCGAAAGCCUGAUCCAGCCAUGCCGCGUGUGUGAAGAAGGUCUUCGGAUUGUAAAGCACUUUAAGUUGGGAGGAAGGGUUGUAGAUUAAUACUCUGCAAUUUUGACGUUACCGACAGAAUAAGCACCGGCUAACUCUGUGCCAGCAGCCGC